Molecule: long non-coding RNA, 281 nt
Filed under: Gossypium barbadense (sea-island cotton)
Lineage: Eukaryota; Viridiplantae; Streptophyta; Magnoliopsida; Malvales; Malvaceae
Description: long non-coding RNA (GBAR_LNC021913)
Source: RNAcentral
AUCCCACCCAUAGUCGAUUCACUAUCAACGUAUGAUAUUGGAGCCACCAUCUACGGUUCUUGAGCUCUGUCUUCUUCAUCAGAUGCAUUGGCAUCUUCAUUUUGCUCCAUGCCGGCUAACUCAGCAAAUAAGUGAAUCGGUGCAUUCUUGUCACUCUCAUUCCCACAGUAAAGAGCAAUCAUUCUCUCCAAGUCUUCGUCGUCUACAAGUUCCAUUUCAGUGAAUUUGACCGGAUUUGUCGAAAUUGGAAACUUGUAGAAAAUUUUUGAUAUCCUUCUCCC